This 253-nucleotide ribosomal RNA is filed under the name uncultured bacterium. RNAcentral's name for it is "partial 16S ribosomal RNA". It matches the Rfam family "Bacterial small subunit ribosomal RNA", at positions 524 to 776 of the family's 1533-position model. The record is from RNAcentral.
UACGGGGGGGGCAAGCGUUGUUCGGAAUUACUGGGCGUAAAGGGCUCGUAGGCGGGCAUUCAAGUCAGGGGUGAAAUCCUCCAGCUUAACUGGAGAACUGCCUUUGAUACUGGGUGCCUCGAGUGAGGUAGGGGCGUGCGGAACUGAUGGUGGAGCGGUGAAAUGUGUUGAUAUCAUCAGGAACUCCGGUGGCGAAAGCGGCGCGCUGGACCUUAACUGACGCUGAGGCGCGAAAGCCAGGGGAGCAAACGGG